ACCUCCGUGGGGCAGUGGUGAGCCCUCUGACCUUAUAAGUGGGAGGUCCCGGGUUCGAUUCCCGGCAGGGGCA
Molecule: non-coding RNA, 73 nt
Organism: Maniola jurtina (meadow brown)
Lineage: Eukaryota; Metazoa; Arthropoda; Insecta; Lepidoptera; Nymphalidae
Source: the annotation of a RefSeq genome assembly